UAACAUCCGGAAACGGGUGCUAAUAACCGCAUAGUUUUCUUGAUCGCAUGAUUGAGAAAGGAAAGACGGCCUUUGUGCUGUCGCUUAUGGAUGGACCCGCGGCGUAUUAGUUAGUUGGUGAGGUAACGGCUCACCAAGACGAUGAUACGUAGCCGACCUGAGAGGGUGAUCGGCCACAUUGGGACUGAGACACGGCCCAAACUCCUACGGGAGGCAGCAGUAGGGAAUCUUCCGCAAUGGACGAAAGUCUGACGGAGCAACGCCGCGUGAGUGAAGAAAAGGGUUUUCGGAUCGUAAAAACUCUGUUGUCAGAGAAGAACAAGUUGGAGAGUAACUGCUCCAGCCUUGACGGUAUCUGACCAGAAAGCCACGGCUAACUACGUGCCAGCCGCCGC
This 395-nucleotide ribosomal RNA is filed under the name uncultured bacterium. Its description in RNAcentral is "bacterial SSU rRNA". It matches the Rfam family "Bacterial small subunit ribosomal RNA", at positions 144 to 518 of the family's 1533-position model. The record is from RNAcentral.